This 76-nucleotide transfer RNA is filed under the name Gammaproteobacteria bacterium. RNAcentral's name for it is "tRNA-Phe". It matches the Rfam family "tRNA". From Rfam's summary of the family: Transfer RNA (tRNA) molecules are approximately 80 nucleotides in length. Their secondary structure includes four short double-helical elements and three loops (D, anti-codon, and T loops). The record is from RNAcentral. Lineage: Bacteria; Pseudomonadati; Pseudomonadota; Gammaproteobacteria. RNAcentral also lists the same sequence under 3 other names.
GGCCAGGUAGCUCAGUUGGUAGAGCAGCGGACUGAAAAUCCGCGUGUCGGUGGUUCGAUCCCGCCCCUGGCCACCA